Molecule: ribosomal RNA, 460 nt
Filed under: uncultured bacterium
Lineage: Bacteria
Description: partial 16S ribosomal RNA
Rfam family: Bacterial small subunit ribosomal RNA
Source: RNAcentral
CCUACGGGUGGCAGCAGUGAGGAAUAUUGGUCAAUGGGCGAGAGCCUGAACCAGCCAAGUCGCGUGAAGGAUGACGGCCCUACGGGUUGUAAACUUCUUUUGUCAGGGAGCAAUUGGGUCCACGCGUGGGCUUAGCGAGAGUACCUGAAGAAAAAGCAUCGGCUAACUCCGUGCCAGCAGCCGCGGUAAUACGGAGGAUGCGAGCGUUAUCCGGAUUUAUUGGGUUUAAAGGGUGCGUAGGCGGAAUGCCAAGUCAGCGGUAAAAUCGCGGGGCUCAACCUCGCUCCGCCGUUGAAACUGGCGUUCUUGAGUGUGCGAGAAGUAUGCGGAAUGCGUGGUGUAGCGGUGAAAGGCUUAGAUAUCACGAAGAACUCCGAUUGCGAAGGCAGUUCACUGGACUGCAACUGACACUGAGGCUCGAAAGUGUGGGUAUCAAACAGGAUUAGAUACCCGAGUAGUC